Long non-coding RNA from Homo sapiens (human), 1688 nucleotides. Ensembl annotates it as long intergenic non-protein coding RNA 635. Lineage: Eukaryota; Metazoa; Chordata; Mammalia; Primates; Hominidae. The record is from Ensembl.
GAACAUCUUACGGAUGGCCCAGGGCUCCAAAGGCUCGUUUCCUAAGUGAGAGAGAGCCUGGCUGAAGCUGUAUUACCAUUCAUUCUCCAGCCUCCGAAGUCUCAAAGCAUCACUUCCACCAUACUCUAACUGUCAAGACAAACACAAAGGCCCAGACAUUACAUGUAAAUGGAAUCAUACAAUAUGUGAUCUUUUGUGACUGGCUUCUUUCACUUAGCAUAACGUUUUCAAGGUUUGUUCGUGUUGUAGCAGAAACUGCCAGACUGUCUUCUGAAGUGGCUAUAAUAUUUACACUCCCAUCAGCAGUGUAGAAGGGGUCUCACUAUGUUGUCUGGAGUGCUGUGGUGGAGUGGAGUGGCUAUUCACAGAGCCUGUUCUGCUGGGACACAGAAUCACUUGCUCCAUCUCAUACAUUGAUGAUGAUUAAUUUGUAUGUGUACCUUCCAAAAAAGAUGGUUGUGUUUGAAUGGAGGCCUUCUGGACAGGAAAAUUGCAAAGUACAAUUAACAUUUGAGUCUGUCUGAGUCAUGAAGAAAUGGAGAUUACUGAAAAUAAUUCAUUUUGGUAUCUUCUUACAUCCUGAGAGACUAAUCUUUCCAAGUUCAUCUGAGGCUCCUCUUCUCCAUGACAACCUCAUCCAGGGAUUUCUUCCUGUCCUGGUGUUUUAUGACAUCAUCCUCAUCUCGCUUGUAAGGAUAAUAGCCUUCCUCCAAACCUCACACACUUUUGGAGGAGAUCACUUUUUUUAAAGUGCAUGGAAAUGUUUUGAAACAGUGAAAUCUAUAAUGAUAGGUUUCAUAAUUCUAACAUCCACACCAUAUGAAUCACAUCCUUCCUGAGAUAAUGAGCACACAAUUGCCUGGAUACCUGAAGGAAUGGAGACAGCGGCAGAAAACACUGCAGAGAGGUGGAAACAUCCGUUAAUAUUUUAAAAUCCCAUUACUGCUACCAACAAUAAUAAUGGAUGCAUAGAAAUAGAUCUGGAUUAGCUGAGCUUGAAACAGUCCAUCUCACACACACACAAAAGAAUUUCAGAUACAGUGAACCCACAUGUUGAAGCUUUCUAGUAUAAUAAAAAUUUCAACUGUUCUGUUGAAUCAUCUGCCUGAUUGGAGGCUACAGAAAAGAUGUCAUCUUAGGAGUGCUUGCUCUGAGUGAGGCUCAUCUUCAAAUCUGAAUGACCACAAGGAGAUUUGAUUAUACAUGUGAACACCUCAGAAGGCACAGCCCACCCAGAAGGCAGACAGGUCAGGCUGCUUUUUCUUCAUUGCUUGGAUUCAAUCCUCCGGGCGGCUCAGGCUCAAACAUAACUUAAGCAUGAUUAAACUUUAGAAGAAGCUGCCAGGAAGACUGUGAAAUCUUCAUGCCCAAGGAUCCCUAAAAUUAGGAGCAACAACCACUUGGCUCAGACGGUUUAUGGAGGCAAAGGUUUGGAUGGGAUUAGAGAUUUCUAAAUGUGAGUUCGUGUCCUCUGCCAGACCACCUUACUUCCACCAUUCCUCAGCAAAUCAAGAAAAACAGGAGAAAAGACAUGCCUUUCCAUAAGUUAAAUCUAUUCUGUUUUAAUUCUAUAUUAUAUCUGCUGUACAACUUCUUUUGUUUGUAACACCAUAUUGUUGCUAGUAACUGGAAAUUAAUUUUCACAUGCCUCAGCUUAGAAAAAUAAAAAGCAGCCCUGCAUCAAUCCC